UGCGUGCUUUAAGGAGGCCCACGGGUGGUUCUGAUACCCACUGAAGUUGGACAGGCAUUACCAUAGGAUGAAAGAAAAUGCUGGUGGGAGAAAGAGAUGUAGAUAGGUGUCCAAAUCACUGGGCUGGAGAUCAGAUAACCUGAGGUCUACACCAAGCUCUGUUGCUCAGUCUCAUGCAUCUACACAUACCACUUCAGCUUUCUGUGCCUCUAUUUGCUUACCUAUAAAUGGAGUGGACCCACAGCCUUUCUGACUUAUUCAGGUAUUAAGGGGCCCCACCUAAGGAUGGCGACACAAACAAUCAAAAUCCAGCAGCAGCAGUACCAUUAUGGAGCUGAUGACUUGGUCCUGGUUUUUCAUCUACGGUUUUUAAAUGCAGUAUUUUAUCUGUUUCAAAUUGUCUCUCUUUUACGAUACCUUUCCUUGGCCCCUUCGUAUACCUUGAGAAGAAAAAUACGUAUCAAAAUUAGAGAUAAGAGGCUAAGAGAAAUCCAUUUUUAUUAUCUGCUAUUUCUUAAGGUUUUUCGCUCAUUUUAGCUUCAUGCUUUUAAGUAAAGUCGUUAUCCAAUUUAAUUUAUUCUCCUUGAUCCUUAGCUGCACUUUAGUGCACCAUAAAGAUAUGACAGUGAACUUUUUUGAAGAUGAACCAUUAGAAUAUGCCUCUAAAAAGGCUCUUUUGCUUGAAAAAAAAUGUGCCCUGUUUUCAUGAAAAGCUCUCAAGAUUUCACACGGAAAA
Neofelis nebulosa (Clouded leopard) is the source of this 736-nucleotide long non-coding RNA. RefSeq lists it as uncharacterized. Lineage: Eukaryota; Metazoa; Chordata; Mammalia; Carnivora; Felidae. The transcript has 2 exons. The record is from RefSeq and is a predicted model, not a curated record.